AAGUCGUAACAAGGUUUCCGUAGGUGAACCUGCGGAAGGAUCAUUAUCGAGUUAGGGUCUUCAUGGCCUGACCUCCAACCCUGUGUUUAUUAUACCACGUUGCUUCGGCGGGUCCGUCUUUUAUCGGACCGCCGGGGGGUCGCGAGACUUCCUGGCCCGCGCCCGCCGAUGGCCCCCAAUAAAACUCCGUAUAACCAAUGUUCGUCGUUGGCAGUUGCAUUGAAUUUAAACUUUAAAAAUCAAAAAUCA
Molecule: unclassified non-coding RNA, 249 nt
Filed under: plant metagenome
Description: partial contains small subunit ribosomal RNA and internal transcribed spacer 1
Rfam family: Eukaryotic small subunit ribosomal RNA (bases 1-46)
Source: RNAcentral